UCACUUUUCACUUCACUUUUUAAAAUAAAGAUGCUGUCAUUUCAUUUUUAGGUGAAUAAACCCCUUAAAAUAAAGAUUGAAAGAGUUGUUGAAGCUUAAUGUUGGUUGACGUUGUCAUUUGUCGUGUACAUGGUGUAAUUUUUUUCAUAAGCUACGGUUAGUUUUUUACUUCUGCCGAUUGUAUUUCAGGCUUCACAGUUGGUGUUUAUUCGUGAAGAUUGUCAUAACAAACAAAACAUGUCAGAAGCUUGUUUUCUGCAAUACAAAAGCCAGUGGUAAGUGGCAGGUCGAGAGGCUUGCAGAAAACGUGAGCAUAUACUAAUCAAUUGUGUAACAUUUGCACAAGUUACCAUUUCCCAGCACAAACUUUUCAUUUCAGUUGAAUGCUAUUGAAGAUGGAGAGUUGGGUUGUUGUAAAAGAAGUCAUUAGUGUUCCACGAGGUUGUUGAGGUACUAAUGGAUUAAUUAUUGUGAAUACAGUUGUGAGGGAGUCAUUAGACAAUAUAAUUUUGUGUAUAAUUCUGUUUGUUGAUAGUAGUAGAAAUUAUUCACAUGACUUCAAGUCAUUGUUCACUAAUAAUCUUCCCAACCACUGCAAAUGUUUGUGCAUUAAGAUAUUUUCUUUUCUUUCUUUCUUUAUACAGUGUAUAUAUAUGUGUGUGUGUGUGUGUGUGUGUGUGUGUAUUUUUUUAAUAUUUUUACUAGGAAAGCUGGCAGUGGAUGGAGCCGCUACACAGUCAUCAACAUUUAUGGGCUGGUUUGCUGAAAGGGCAAAAUGAGACUAACCCGUGGUGGAGGCUGGAUCUGUGUCAAAUUUACAGAGUUAGUAGAGUGGUGGUCACUAACGGAAAAGACUGCUGUACCGAACAAAUCAACGGAGCAGAAAUUCACAUCAGAAACUAUUUGGAGAACAACGGCACAAACAAUCCCAUUUGAGACUCUUGAGUUUGAAAGAAUCAGGUGAGUGCGACAGCUACUCGUGCGGUGGGAUGGAGGGACGUUACGUGAAUCUGAUCAUUCCUGGAGACAUGAAGACACUCAGUCUCUGUGAGGUGGAGGUCUAUGGAGAAGGUCCAGUUUUAAAAAGAUCUUUUGUAAAGAUGCAGUUUAACUCCAGAGUUGAUUUAACUGACCCCUCCGUGAGAGAAAAUGUUCUGAAACAGGUCUUUGUGGUGGACGAUAACACAGUGGAAAUCAACACUUUGUCUCUAUUUCACAAACUUUACGUUUUUUAAAGACAUUAAUUCUGAUUCUAAAUGCAUUGCCUUAAAUUUCUUUAUAAUUAUGCUUACAAUGAAAAAAAAAAAAAACUUCUGCUUCCUUCCUUUUAGUGCUUAUUCACAUAUUUGAAAAUUAUAAAACUUCUUGUCUAACUGUGUAUUGUAAACAAAUAGAGAUAGUAAUACAUAUAAUGAACAUAAUCAAAUCAAUGUUAAAUGUACAUUCAUACAACCCACAAGUGUGAUUUUAAUAUGUCAGUUGUGUAUUCACUGUCACAGGCUAUUUUAUUUUUAUUGUAGUAUCUAUAUAUUGUUUUAUUUAUUUACUAUUUUUCCUGCCAUUUUGUGUUGUUGGAACUGUGAUGAGGUGAACAGAAUCUCACGUGAAUGGAAAGAGAACAGCACAAGUGUUCACUGUUGUCCAAUGACUUGCCUAAUAAACCUAAACCUAACUUAAUUAACCUAAUUAGUCCUCUAUGCCUUUAAAUUGCACUUUAUGCUGAGGAUUAGUAUCUUACAAAACAACUAGUAAAAUAAUAUGUACUGUACUGUCAACAUGACAAAAUAAAUAGUUUAGACAUGAGAAAAAAAUUAUUGAU
Molecule: long non-coding RNA, 1819 nt
Organism: Cyprinus carpio (common carp)
Lineage: Eukaryota; Metazoa; Chordata; Actinopteri; Cypriniformes; Cyprinidae
Exons: 4
Source: RefSeq, a predicted model, not a curated record